AGCUCCUGCUCUGAGGAUGUGGAAAUCUCCCUCCACCGGUGCCUGCUUGCUUGUCUCCAGGGCUGGACCAUCCCCCAGCAGCAGCUGGAGGGCAUUGCAGACAAUCUGUUCCCAACGGCCUGUGAAGGGAAGGGAUGAGGUGGAGGACUGGCCAGGGGAGGUCACUCACCCCAGCCCAUCAGUGCCUCAGCCUCAGAGCUGCUCCCAGAUGCUGGAUUAAAUGGUUUCUUUUUUAAA
This is a long non-coding RNA of Empidonax traillii (willow flycatcher), 237 nucleotides long. RefSeq lists it as uncharacterized. The record is from RefSeq and is a predicted model, not a curated record. The transcript has 2 exons. NCBI's taxonomy places the organism in Eukaryota, Metazoa, Chordata, Aves, Passeriformes, Tyrannidae.